RNAcentral lists this transfer RNA (63 nucleotides) under Phalantus geniculatus. RNAcentral describes it as "tRNA-Ile". Lineage: Eukaryota; Metazoa; Arthropoda; Insecta; Hemiptera; Reduviidae. The record is from RNAcentral.
AAUAGGUGCCUGAUAAAAAGGACUAUCUUGAUAGGAUAGAUUAUGUACACAAUACCCUUAUUU